This 198-nucleotide long non-coding RNA is filed under the name Meriones unguiculatus (Mongolian gerbil). Lineage: Eukaryota; Metazoa; Chordata; Mammalia; Rodentia; Muridae. The record is from RNAcentral.
GAGCUCUUUGUCCUUCCAACUGCGUUGCACCGAGCUAAGAUGGUCAGGGGUAUAUCAUAUGGACAACACACAUGCCAUUCUUUGCAAAGCAGUGAGUAAAGGAGUAUAUCCCACAUCAGCAUGGUAUGCUGAAGGCAGAGUAACAGGUAUCCUAUUGGGAGGUCCUUUCUUAUACUUUUGGUUGCCUAGCAACAAGCC